Molecule: ribosomal RNA, 1513 nt
Filed under: uncultured Eubacteriales bacterium
Lineage: Bacteria; Bacillati; Bacillota; Clostridia; Eubacteriales
Description: bacterial SSU rRNA
Rfam family: Bacterial small subunit ribosomal RNA
Source: RNAcentral
AGAGUUUGAUCCUGGCUCAGGAUGAACGCUGGCGGCGUGCCUAACACAUGCAAGUCGAACGAAGCACUUUGAGCAAAGCCCUUCGGGGCGGAGAAUAAAGUGACUUAGUGGCGGAUGGGUGAGUAACGCGUGGGUAACCUGCCUUACACAGUGGGAUAACAACUGGAAACAGUUGCUAAAACCGCAUAAGCGCACAGGUACACAAGUACCAGAGUGAAAAAAGGAAACAUUAAUGUUUCUAUUGGUGUAAGAUGGGCCCGCGUCUGAUUAGCUAGUUGGUAAGGUAACGGCUUACCAAGGCGAUGAUCAGUAGCCGGCUUGAGAGAGUGACCGGCCACAUUGGGACUGAGACACGGCCCAAACUCCUACGGGAGGCAGCAGUGGGGAAUCUUGCACAAUGGGCGCAAGCCUGAUGCAGCGACGCCGCGUGAGUGAAGAAGUACUUCGGUAUGUAAAGCUCUAUCAGCAGGGACGAUAAUGACGGUACCUGACUAAGAAGCCCCGGCUAACUACGUGCCAGCAGCCACGGUAAUACGUAGGGGGCAAGCGUUAUCCGGAUUUACUGUGUGUAAAGGGAGCGUAGGUGGCAAAGUAAGUCAGAUGUGAAAGCCCGUGGCUUAACUGCGGGAUUGCAUCAGAAACUGCUUUGCUAGAGUGCAGGAGAGGUAAGUGGAAUUCCUAGUGUAGCGGUGAAAUGCGUAGAUAUUAGGAGGAACAUCAGUGGCGAAGGCGGCUUACUGGACUGUAACUGACACUGAGGCUCGAAAGCGUGGGGGAGCAAACAGGAUUAGAUACCCUGGUAGUCCACGCUGUAAACGAUGAAUACUAGGUGUCGGGGCCCAAAGGGCUUCGGUGCCGGCGCAAACGCAUUAAGUAUUCCACCUGGGGAGUACGUACGCAAGUAUGAAACUCAAAGGAAUUGACGGGGACCCGCACAAGCGGUGGAGCAUGUGGUUUAAUUCGAAGCAACGCGAAGAACCUUACCAGGUCUUGACAUCUGGGUGACAGGUCAGUAAAAUGACCCUCCCUUCGGGGCACCCAAGACAGGUGGUGCAUGGUUGUCGUCAGCUCGUGUCGUGAGAUGUUAGGUUAAGUCCUGCAACGAGCGCAACCCCUAUCUUUAGUAGCCAUCAGUCAGGCUGGGCACUCUAAAGAGACUGCCAGGGAUAACCUGGAGGAAGGCGGGGAUGACGUCAAAUCAUCAUGCCCCUUAUGAUCUGGGCUACACACGUGCUACAAUGGUGACUACAAAGGGAAGCGAAGUCGUGAGGCGAAGCAAAUCCCAUAAAGGUCAUCUCAGUUCGGAUUGUAGUCUGCAACUCGACUACAUGAAGCUGGAAUCGCUAGUAAUCGUGGAUCAGAAUGCCACGGUGAAUACGUUCCCGGGUCUUGUACACACCGCCCGUCACACCAUGGAAGCCUAAAAUGCCCGAAGUCAGUGACCCAACCGUAAGGAGGGAGCUGCCGAAGGUGGAGUAGGUGACUGGGGUGAAGUCGUAACAAGGUAGCCGUA